UGAGAGUAGAUCAGUCAGUAGAGCAUGAGCCUCUUAAGCUCAGAAUAGUGGGUUCGAGCCCCACAUUGGGCAAAA
Podarcis lilfordi (Lilford's wall lizard) is the source of this 75-nucleotide non-coding RNA. The record is from the annotation of a GenBank genome assembly. Lineage: Eukaryota; Metazoa; Chordata; Lepidosauria; Squamata; Lacertidae.